UCUUCAUGCGGGGCAGGGGGGUUCGAUUCCUGGUCGAUUUUUGGCAAAAAUCGACCAGAAAUCGAACCCCUCCCGCCCCGCAUGAAGG
Heligmosomoides polygyrus is the source of this 88-nucleotide non-coding RNA. NCBI's taxonomy places the organism in Eukaryota, Metazoa, Nematoda, Chromadorea, Rhabditida, Heligmosomidae. The record is from Rfam.